This 459-nucleotide ribosomal RNA is filed under the name uncultured bacterium. Its description in RNAcentral is "partial 16S ribosomal RNA". It matches the Rfam family "Bacterial small subunit ribosomal RNA", at positions 338 to 795 of the family's 1533-position model. The record is from RNAcentral.
CCUACGGGAGGCAGCAGUGAGGAAUAUUGGUCAAUGGUCGGGAGACUGAACCAGCCAAGCCGCGUGAGGGAUGAAGGUACAGAGUAUCGUAAACCUCUUUUGUCAGGGAACAAAGGCGGGGACGUGUCCCCGGAUGAGUGUACCUGAAGAAAAAGCAUCGGCUAACUCCGUGCCAGCAGCCGCGGUAAUACGGAGGAUUCGAGCGUUAUCCGGAUUUAUUGGGUUUAAAGGGUGCGCAGGCGGUUUGUUAAGUCAGCGGUAAAAGCCCGGGGCUCAACCCCGGCCCGCCGUUGAAACUGGCAGUCUCGAGUUGGAGAGAAGUAUGCGGAAUGCGCGGUGUAGCGGUGAAAUGCAUAGAUAUCGCGCAGAACUCCGAUUGCGAAGGCAGCAUGCCGGCUCCACACUGACGCUGAGGCACGAAAGCGUGGGUAUCGAACAGGAUUAGAUACCCCAGUAGUC